CCUACGGGAGGCAGCAGUGAGGAAUAUUGGUCAAUGGACGAGAGUCUGAACCAGCCAAGCAGCGUGAAGGAUGACUGCCCUAUGGGUUGUAAACUUCUUUUAUAGGGGAAUAAAGGUAUCUACGUGUGGCUAUUUGCAUGUAUCCUAUGAAUAAGCAUCGGCUAACUCCGUGCCAGCAGCCGCGGUAAUACGGAGGAUGCGAGCGUUAUCCGGAUUUAUUGGGUUUAAAGGGUGCGUAGGUUGUUUUUUAAGUCAGCGGUGAAAGUUUGUGGCUCAACCAUAAAAUUGCCGUUGAUACUGGAAGACUUGAGUAUGUUUGAGGUAGGCGGAAUGCGUGGUGUAGCGGUGAAAUGCAUAGAUAUCACGCAGAACUCCGAUUGCGAAGGCAGCUUACUAAGCCAUAACUGACACUGAAGCACGAAAGCGUGGGGAUCAAACAGGAUUAGAUACCCUUGUAGUC
RNAcentral lists this ribosomal RNA (460 nucleotides) under uncultured bacterium. RNAcentral's name for it is "partial 16S ribosomal RNA". It matches the Rfam family "Bacterial small subunit ribosomal RNA", at positions 338 to 795 of the family's 1533-position model. The record is from RNAcentral.